AAAGAGACUGCCGGUGUUAAACCGGAGGAAGGUGGGGAGUGACGUCAAGUCCUCAUGGCCUUUAUGCUUAGGGCUACACACGUGCUACAAUGGGUGGUACAAAGAGAAGCCAACUCGCGAGAGCGCGCCAAUCUCAAAAAGCCAUCCUCAGUUCGGAUUGGAGUCUGCAACUCGACUCCAUGAAGUUGGAAUCGCUAGUAAUCGCGGAUCAGCAUGCCGCGGUGAAUACGUUCCCGGGCCUU
RNAcentral lists this ribosomal RNA (242 nucleotides) under uncultured Smithella sp. Its description in RNAcentral is "partial 16S ribosomal RNA". It matches the Rfam family "Bacterial small subunit ribosomal RNA", at positions 1142 to 1382 of the family's 1533-position model. Lineage: Bacteria; Pseudomonadati; Thermodesulfobacteriota; Syntrophia; Syntrophales; Smithellaceae. The record is from RNAcentral.